UACGUAGGGUGCAAGCGUUAAUCGGAAUUACUGGGCGUAAAGCGUGCGCAGGCGGUUUUGUAAGUCAGAUGUGAAAUCCCCGGGCUUAACCUGGGAACUGCGUUUGAAACUACAAGGCUAGAGUGUGGCAGAGGGGGGUGGAAUUCCACGUGUAGCAGUGAAAUGCGUAGAUAUGUGGAGGAACACCGAUGGCGAAGGCAGCCCCCUGGGUCAAGACUGACGCUCAUGCACGAAAGCGUGGGGAGCGAACAGG
Molecule: ribosomal RNA, 253 nt
Filed under: uncultured bacterium
Lineage: Bacteria
Description: partial 16S ribosomal RNA
Rfam family: Bacterial small subunit ribosomal RNA
Source: RNAcentral